Molecule: long non-coding RNA, 527 nt
Organism: Homo sapiens (human)
Lineage: Eukaryota; Metazoa; Chordata; Mammalia; Primates; Hominidae
Exons: 3
Source: RefSeq, a predicted model, not a curated record
CUCCGGACACACCUGAACAUCUGAAGGAACAAACUCCAGACACGCCAUCUUUAAGAACUGUAGCACUCACUGCAAGAGUCCAUGGCUUCGUUCUUGAAGUCAGCUAGAACAAGAACCCACCGGAAGGAACCAAUUGCAGACACAGUAGCAUCUAGCCUUUUUAAACAAUCGUCUCCCAAAUCCUCACCAUGGACAAAUAUUUAAGUAUAAUCUCAUUUUCUAAUAACCUAUCACCAAUGAUUUAUUAAUCAUCUAUUGCGAGGCCUAUACUGUGUCCGUCCUGGAUGAUGAAUGUAAAAUAUUCCACAUUAAACUAUGGAGGUGAUACUUAUAGGAAACCUAACAAAUAACAACAACAGCAACAAUAAUAAUAAAAAAAUACAUUAUGAGAAACUCAUGAAAACAAACCAAAAAAGCAAGACUGAGCUAAUCCUCAAAUAAUUUAUAGGGCUUUGAUUGGUACUGAAGAGUCCUAGUAAUAUUCCAGAUGGAAGAAAAAAAGCAUGAGGAAACAUAAUAAGAUUCAG